AACCUCUUGGUUCAUAGACGUGAUGAUUGGGUGUCCACAGGUUGGCAUGACAUGUGCCCCUCCAUAAGACCUUGUUACAUCGGCACAUUAUCCCUCCUCUGAUG
Molecule: small nucleolar RNA, 104 nt
Organism: Jaculus jaculus (lesser Egyptian jerboa)
Lineage: Eukaryota; Metazoa; Chordata; Mammalia; Rodentia; Dipodidae
Product: small nucleolar RNA U13
Exons: 1
Source: RefSeq, a predicted model, not a curated record